AUCUGGCUGGCUCAGUUGGUAGAGCAUGAGACUCUUAAUCUUAGGGGUGUGAGUUCAAGCCCCACAUUGGGUA
RNAcentral lists this transfer RNA (73 nucleotides) under Canis lupus familiaris (dog). It matches the Rfam family "tRNA". Rfam says of the family: Transfer RNA (tRNA) molecules are approximately 80 nucleotides in length. Their secondary structure includes four short double-helical elements and three loops (D, anti-codon, and T loops). The record is from Rfam by way of RNAcentral. RNAcentral also lists the same sequence under 1 other name. Lineage: Eukaryota; Metazoa; Chordata; Mammalia; Carnivora; Canidae.